CGAACCAAAGGGUCGAGUGGUUCGACCCAUGCUUCCUCUCCCGUCCGUGCGGCGGACCUUACCCCGCCUUCCAUCCAUGCAGCUGCCUCCAAUUCCUUCGUCGUCCUGCUCCUCCAUCCAUCUGGCGGCGCUCGUCCUUUGUACUACGCGCGGCGAGUCCUCCCCCACCCGUCCGUUGCUGACUCGCUGGGUGCCGGCCGUCCUCCCGCGGCCCCCGCCUCCACCGACAGCCUAGGCGUCGAGCCAGGCCCGUCCUACCUCGUCGGGGGCAUCGCCGUUACCCCGCCCUCUAGGCUGGCGCGGCGUGGAGGACAACGCAGAUCCGCCAGUCUCUUCUUGGAUUCGGUCCUUGUCUCGAUGGUUCUGGUUGACCACACCUACUUCCUCAAGGAACUCCAGUGAAGCCCAGACACCCUGGUGCCAUGCUAGAUGUAGUAAUUCUUCUCCGUGAUGUAAUAAAUGGCAGUUGGUGCUUGACUUUGCUCCUGCCAUGAUGAACUGAAAAUAAAACUGCUGUAGAGUUGUGCUUUUGCUAGGGAGGAUUGGGGUUCACUGUGUAACUGCCUGUUACUAGUUUGCAAUUGCUACCUGUAGCAAUCUGUCUAUUACACUGGACCAGUUUGAGGUGUUGAUUCACUGAUAUGUGCUGGUUGCCUGCUGUUGUUUUGUCGUGAAUCUGUCUAUUAGGUUAGUCGGCAACUAACCAACUGUAAGCAAUUGCAUUGACAAAUCCAUCUCAUGUUUGAUCUGAA
Molecule: long non-coding RNA, 752 nt
Organism: Panicum virgatum (switchgrass)
Lineage: Eukaryota; Viridiplantae; Streptophyta; Magnoliopsida; Poales; Poaceae
Exons: 2
Source: RefSeq, a predicted model, not a curated record